Phascolarctos cinereus (koala) is the source of this 717-nucleotide non-coding RNA. The record is from RefSeq and is a predicted model, not a curated record. NCBI's taxonomy places the organism in Eukaryota, Metazoa, Chordata, Mammalia, Diprotodontia, Phascolarctidae.
UCCUUCAUAUUAAGCUAGAGGAGGUGCAGGCCCAGCUUCAUGACCUGGAGCACAAAAUCCUGAGUUAUGUGACAGAGGAGCAGGACAAGUCUGUGAGCAAAGCUGCUUCCAUCUUGAGGCUGACCCUUCUGAAGAAGGGAGUGACUAUCGGGAUGACGAAGGAGGAAGUACACCAGAUAAUACAGCAGGCACUGAAAGAAUACAGUGAAGAUCGCAUUGGGCUGGUGGAUUAUGCCCUGGAGUCCUCAGGGGCCAGCAUUGUCAGUAGCCACUCGUCAGAGACCUAUGGCAUCAGGACGGAGUGGUUUGGCAUACCAUUUUGAUGCUAUUUCCAGUCCCCAAGAGUCAUCUUCCAGCCAGAAGUCAACCCUGGCAUUCAGGGGCUGCCAGGGCUUUGUCGUGGUGUGCUUGUCUGCCCACAUCCAGCUCACUGCUGUCACCUAGGAGUACGUGCUGAAAUCCCUGUCACUAACCGCUGACAUCCCCACUUCCCCAGAGGACUUUGUCAUCACGGGCAACAACACAGCCCCAUACAAGCUGAUAGAGCUGCGAAUCAUCAGCAACUGGGGUAACCCUCAGUAUACCUGUAUUUACCACUUCAGGGUCUAUGGGAAGCAUGCCAUUUAGCCCCUGCCCACCCUGUUGCCUUCACCCCUUCCUCCUUCAGCCACCAGCAAGCAGCUCUCCCACCUCCUCCUCCCUGUCCCCGCUUAAUCU